This 73-nucleotide transfer RNA is filed under the name Candidatus Micrarchaeota archaeon CG1_02_60_51. Its description in RNAcentral is "tRNA-Val". It matches the Rfam family "tRNA". Rfam says of the family: Transfer RNA (tRNA) molecules are approximately 80 nucleotides in length. Their secondary structure includes four short double-helical elements and three loops (D, anti-codon, and T loops). The record is from RNAcentral. RNAcentral also lists the same sequence under 4 other names. Lineage: Archaea; Nanobdellati; Microcaldota.
GGGCCCGUAGUCGAAUGGCUAAGACAUCCCGUUUACACCGGGAAGAUUCGGAGUUCGAUUCUCCGCGGGCCCA